This 75-nucleotide antisense RNA is filed under the name Streptomyces monashensis. RNAcentral describes it as "Streptomyces sp. MUSC 1 ASpks TB sRNA". It matches the Rfam family "ASpks TB sRNA". Lineage: Bacteria; Bacillati; Actinomycetota; Actinomycetes; Kitasatosporales; Streptomycetaceae. The record is from Rfam by way of RNAcentral.
CUUCACCGACCCCAGCCACAACGGCCGUUCCGGAUCGCGCUCCUGGCUGUAGACGGAGAUCAGCGCCUGGGCCUC